RNAcentral lists this unclassified non-coding RNA (1065 nucleotides) under Hevea brasiliensis (rubber tree). Lineage: Eukaryota; Viridiplantae; Streptophyta; Magnoliopsida; Malpighiales; Euphorbiaceae. The record is from RNAcentral.
GAAAGCCUUGCUGAAGUUUACUUUGCCAACGGAGGUGACUUAAACCUGACUGUUGAGAUGCUCACUCAAUUAGAGCUUCAAGUUGAUGGUGGGAUAAGUCAAAAUCUGAAUUCCAAGACAAUGUCUGCCCCCAAUCUUAGUGCAAUGGACUUUCCUGCACUUACAGUGUCAGGUGGUCAAAAUGGCCAUCCAAAAUUCGAUGGUGCUGAUCUUCAACAAAGUACCAAUCCUUAUCUUUCUUCUGAUAAGGAUGGCAUGCUUUUCUUCAAGUCCAGCUCCGGUCCAUCUAGAGGUGCCACUGAUUUUGCUUCCACUGUCAGGAAAUUGGCAUCUCAGGAUUCCGGCAUAUGGAAGUACAAUGGAAACGGUUCUGCUGAUGACUCUAUUGGCUCGAGUAGAAGUUCUCAUAUUUUAGCUAGCAAAUACUCUACUGGUGGUCAUGGGAAAGACACCUAUAGUGAGAGGUUGCUACACCGUGGUUCAACUCGGGCUGCUCCAGUUUGGCUUGAAACAGGCGAAGCAGUUGCAAACAUGUAUUCUGAGCAGCGGGAGGAAGCACGUGAUCAUGCACGUCUGCGAAAUGCAUAUUUUGAACAGGCACGACAAGCGUACCUCAUUGGUAAUAAGGCUCUAGCAAAGGAGCUAAGUGUAAAGGGACAGUUACAUAAUAUGCACAUGAAGGCAGCUCAUGGAAGGGCCCAAGAAUCUAUUUAUCGGCAGAGGAAUCAUUUAGGCACAGACAAUCAGGGAAAUGGAAGGGGACACGAACGUAUGAUCGACCUGCAUGGGCUGCAUGUUAGUGAAGCAAUUCAUGUCUUGAAGCACGAGCUGAGUGUGCUGAGGGGUACUGCCAGGGCCUCCGGACAACGUCUGCAGGUUUAUAUUUGUGUUGGAACAGGACACCACACCCGGGGCUCCCGCACUCCUGCUAGACUUCCAGUGGCUGUACAGAGAUAUUUGAUCGAAGAGGAAGGACUCGACUUUAGCGAGCCGCAACCAGGACUGCUUAGAGUUGUGAUUUAUUGAGCCAUGGAGGAAGGAGAGAGCACAGUGAAGUGUUAGGAG